GAUGAAGAACGUAGCGAAAUGCGAUACGUAAUGUGAAUUGCAGAAUUCAGUGAAUCAUCGAGUCUUUGAACGCACAUUGCGCCCUCUGGUAUUCCGGAGGGCAUGCCUGUCCGAGCGUCAUUGCUGCCCUCAAGCACGGCUUGUGUGUUGGACCCCGCCCCCCGAUCCCGGGGGGCGGGCCCGAAAGGCAGCGGCGGCACCGCGUCCGGUCCUCGAGCGUAUGGGGCUUUGUCACCCGCUCUGUAGGCCCGGCCGGCGCUUGCCGAUCAACCAAACUUUUUUCCAGGUUGACCUCGGAUCAGGUAGGGAUACCCGCUGAACUUAAGCAUAUCAAUAAGCGGAGGA
This 345-nucleotide unclassified non-coding RNA is filed under the name soil metagenome. RNAcentral's name for it is "partial contains 5.8S ribosomal RNA, internal transcribed spacer 2, and large subunit ribosomal RNA". The stretch from base 1 to 120 matches the Rfam family "5.8S ribosomal RNA", at positions 35 to 154 of the family's 154-position model. The record is from RNAcentral.